CCGCCGCGCCCGGUCCCGGCUACAGCGGCCCCGCCCACAGAAGCACCGCCCCCGCGCCCUCCCAUUGGCUGAGCAGCCCCCUUGCUCCCUUCCCAUUGGCUCUCGCAGCGGACGCUCCUCCCCUCCCCUUCCUGCAGCGUCUUCCGGGUGGUGCCGCACCCCGGGCGCGGGAGAGGCUCGUGGAGGGCGGUGACUGGUGAGAGUGCACGUCAAUCAUGUGCAGAGCAGCCAAUAAAAAGGAAGACUGGGGAGAGGGCGGGCACUUUCGCCAUAUAAGGGCAAGGCGUCCGCGUUGCUACGCGACGGGCGCGUGGGGAGAGCUGAUUGUUCCCAUGUUUGUUUCCAUGGAAAAACGCCUUUUUUUCUGCUGGAUACAGAGUUGUUGUCACCCAUUCCAGGCCCUUCUGGAAAAAUACUCCUUAAUUCUGGCCUUAAGAGUGUCAGUAGCACCGUAACUUGGUGCUCCGCACCCACGGGAGACCAUGAAUAGGGAGAGACUGGAGACCAGGAAUGGGGAGAGAUUGGACAAAAGCUGAAGGAAAACAGAAUAUUUUAAGGAAUUGCAGCUAACUCCCCCAGAUUUCGGCAUCUAGCAAAGUCAUAAGGCAGUUUUCUACCAGAUGCUCACACAGCAAAUCAUCACCAAUAGGGAAAAAUAACCUGGUUUGUCAGAAAUAAAUUGGGGCAAUUUGAACUGUAUUUCAGAGGAGGCUGAGGGGAGACUCAUCAGGGUCUGGCAGCUUCUCAGGGACAGGGUGGGACUGUUGUGGUGUCCUGGGCAGGGCCGGGAGUUGGACUGGAUGAUCCCUGUGGGUCCCUUCCAACUCAGGAUAUUCCAAGAAAGUAAACCUUUCAGAGCACGUCGUUUCCGUGGUCUCUUUGCCUGGUGCACUUCCAACGAUGAGGACAAGCUACCUUUGAGUCCAAAUAAUCAAGGAACACUCUGCCUGUGCUCAGUUUCAGUGGGAAAGGCAGGAUCCCUCUCUGGGAGCUGGGGCUCUCUCGGAUGUUCACUGAUUUUACUGGGACUGACAAAAGCAGCUGGAUGGACUCGGCUCAACCAACAUCCCAAACACAGCCUGACAGCACCUCAGCUCUGAGAUCUCCACAGCAAAUGGAGCCCAGGGCCAUCCCUGCAGCACUGAGUUCCUGCCAAUUCCAGCCAUUCUGAGCCUGCCAGAGCCUGGAAGUGCUGGGAGGGAACUUUGGGGAUAAUCAGCAUUUCAAGGAUGAGCAAAUCUCUCUUUGCUCCCAGAGGAAGCGUCGUGUGUUUUCCUCAGGCACCUAAAUACAAUUAGGGAAUAAUUACAGAGCUGUUGAUGUGUUUUCCUGUCAAAAAGGGGGAGAAACACACUUAGAAUCUGUUCCCCAAUUAAAUCUGAUCCAACAGAAGGGAACAACAGGGACAUCCAGGAGUGCCUGGUGUCUCAUCCCAGCUUUGAUGCCUCUUUGGUACCCUUGGAAUGGUCCAGGCUGAGGUAGAAGCCAAUCCCUUGGGAAUGCCGAUGGCACUGUGAAUCCUUGGCAUUUCCACAGCUUUUCUUAGCAUGGAUCUAGGCCAGCUCAAGGGAUUCCAUAGCCAGCACAUCCUACACCAGAGUUAUUUUUGAUUUUAUCAGGGACAGGGAAGGGAGAUCCCAAUGGCAGGAAGGAGAAGGGCUGUGAAACGCUGGAUCUGCAGCCUGGAUUGUCCCACUGGGUCACAUGGAUGCACCAAAGGGAUUCCAUCUGGAGCCUGAACCUCCAAGGGGAAUUUGCAUUGGAAGCAGCAUUCCAGAGGCAUGCUGGAAGUGUUACCAUGGGAGAAAGUGUGUGCCAGAGGAGCAGUGGGAUCAGGACAGCCUGGCAGAGAAGGGUGGAGACCUCUCUUGCAGCAGCCACCCUUUUGGGAGACCCCUUCAUCUCUCGGAUCUCACCCCUGCAGCCUUCCAGGCCAAGUUCCAGGUCUUCCCUCCCUCCUUGGACUUCCUUCUGUGCCUGGUGCUCAUCUCCAGGGGCUGCAAUUCCAGCUGUUUGUGGAUAAGAUCAGCUCUUGCCAGGUGUUUCCCUGAGACUCCUCUGCCAUCAGAGUUUGGUGUUCCAUCAGCCUUGGGCAGCUUGACUUCCCAGAGCAUGAGCCUGCUCCCAGCCAGCUUCUGCAGAGCCCAAACUUCCCUGUGUUCAAUUUCUUGUUAUUGCAUUUAGUCUCUGGUGACUCCCGAGCUGACAGCUGGUAAAGAUGGCAUGAAACUGA
Pipra filicauda (Wire-tailed manakin) is the source of this 2233-nucleotide long non-coding RNA. RefSeq lists it as uncharacterized. Lineage: Eukaryota; Metazoa; Chordata; Aves; Passeriformes; Pipridae. The transcript is spliced from 5 exons. The record is from RefSeq and is a predicted model, not a curated record.